UGGGGAAUAUUGGACAAUGGGCGAAAGCCUGAUCCAGCCAUGCCGCGUGAGUGAUGAAGGCCUUAGGGCUGUAAAACUCUUUCGCCGGGGAAGAUAAUGACGGUACCCGGAGAAGAAGCUCCGGCUAACUUCGUGCCAGCAGCCGCGGUAAUACGAAGGGAGCUAGCGUUGUUCGGAAUUACUGGGCGUAAAGCGCACGUAGGCGGGCUAUUAAGUCAGGGGUGAAAUCCCGAGGCUCAACCUCGGAACUGCCUUUGAUACUGAUAGUCUUGAGAUCGGGAGAGGUGAGUGGAAUUCCUAGUGUAGAGGUGAAAUUCGUAGAUAUUAGGAAGAACACCAGUGGCGAAGGCGGCUCACUGGCCCGAUACUGACGCUGAGGUGCGAAAGCGUGGGGAGCAAACAGGAUUAGAUACCCCCGUAGUCCCUGAGCGGGCUGGCAAGGCGCAU
This 447-nucleotide ribosomal RNA is filed under the name uncultured bacterium. RNAcentral describes it as "bacterial SSU rRNA". It matches the Rfam family "Bacterial small subunit ribosomal RNA", at positions 355 to 825 of the family's 1533-position model. The record is from RNAcentral.